This 355-nucleotide unclassified non-coding RNA is filed under the name Zea mays. Its description in RNAcentral is "misc RNA Zm00001eb266990". Lineage: Eukaryota; Viridiplantae; Streptophyta; Magnoliopsida; Poales; Poaceae. The record is from RNAcentral.
CUUCCAGCCAAUUAUGUAAAUUCUAGAGAUGCAAGUGUAUACUUCUCAUAUACCAAUUGUACAAGCACAUACAAAAUGUAUACAAUUCAGCCUUCCAACAAACAUCCAAUGUAUACUUCUCAUAUUAGAGUGGUUUGCUGCAGGUGUUUUCAUGCUAACUUGUUUUAUAAUCAGGAGGAUAGAACUAUAAACCAACAAUAUACCAAAUCUGUAGGUCAAAUGACUCCCACCACUCAGAAGCAACGGUAUGAAUUAUUGUGCAAGGUAAUUUAUUUGAGCCGUCAACGCAUUAGCAAGGCAAAAAACAAUAACCAAGCUCUAGUUAUAAUAGACAUGAGGAUUGGGGGGUAUUUCA